GUGGGCAUUUUGCGGGGCAAGGCAGCUGACUCGAAAUCAGCCAGGGGUUCACGCCCCUCGGGGGUUCAAAUCCUCUUCCCUCCGCCA
RNAcentral lists this transfer RNA (87 nucleotides) under Pyramidobacter sp. CG50-2. Its description in RNAcentral is "tRNA-Ser". The record is from RNAcentral. Lineage: Bacteria; Thermotogati; Synergistota; Synergistia; Synergistales; Dethiosulfovibrionaceae.